Molecule: long non-coding RNA, 3649 nt
Filed under: Bemisia tabaci
Lineage: Eukaryota; Metazoa; Arthropoda; Insecta; Hemiptera; Aleyrodidae
Description: lncRNA ENSSSA1NGG004121
Source: RNAcentral
AUUAUAAACCAGAUUUUCCGGCGUGUUGGAGGAAACUUCUUACGGUUUUUAACAGAUGGCAACUGUUCAGGUGUCAACCGGGAUUUCAAAAAGCGAUUUUUCAAUACGAUUUUGGGCAAUGUCGUGAAAUGAUUUAAUGAACGCGCUUAGAAGAUGUGUCAAAGUGGUCUGGACCAAUUUCGCGGUUUUUUCACUUUCUUUAAGAAUUUUCUUGAAAUUAUUUCAAAAAUUUAAAUUAGUUUUCUCAGUUUGUGAGGAUUAUUUAAAUAAUUAUCAAUUUUUAAUUAUUUUUCCGGGAUUUUAAUGUGCUGGUUACACGCUCAAAUUCCCAUCAAUUUCCGAUCAAAUGGUGACUGGUGCGCACCAUCUACCAUCAAAUUUCUGCGGCCUGCAGAAAUUUGAUGGUAGAUGAUGGAACUGUGGGGCUCAUCCCUCGUCUAAUUUCCACACAACCGGGCUUAUUUCAUGCUUAUUUCAAUCAACACGCUGUUUUAAUUAAUUUUACUCAUCAAUCUCGAUAACUCUCGACCGCCAUCUUGGUCAUCAUUUUGAUCGGAAUUUGACGGGAAGAGCGUGUAACCAGGCCAUAAUGAUUUGUGGAUACUUGAUUUUUCGCUUGAUUGAGUGUGUUGAUCACUUUAGCAGUCACAUAUUAUAUAUCAUCAGUAGUCGGAAUAUUUUGGGAAAAAUAAAACCAGUCAUUCUGUGCAAAACGAUGGUCAGGUCUUCUUUACAGAAAUAUAAACAUAAGGCAGGAGAUAGGCUCUGACAUGCGUGCGGUGAUUAUAUAUGUACGGGCUCUGAUACUUUCAUCAUCGUUUAAAUAAUUUUCAUCGCAGCAAUUCUCUUCUUAUUCAACCUAUCUGUCCUUCAUAGUGGAAAACACCUACAACUACACCAAAACCGGUAACCCUGACACCCUUGAUAUCGUGGAAUCACCCGUUUACUCAGCGUCCAAUCAUCUCGUGCAGAGCGCCGAAACCUGCUGUUCAUCCAGGCUUGACUGGUUUUUUUUGCACGAAUUCUUCAUUCAUGCAAAUUCCAACCCGCUCAUUCGCUUAACGCUGACAACAUUGCAAAAACGGGAAGAACCUUUUUGCCAAACCGAAAAAAAAAACAGCCAGUUGAAUGUCAGUCAGUCAGUCAGUUAGUCACAAUGAACUGGGACACGAAAGUAUGCGCAUAGCUCGAACUGCACACAUGCAAUUGCGAUUCCCUCCUACAAAAAAAAAUUGAAAAAAGAGUUAUUUUUUCAAAUUAAUGUAUACGUAUAUCCUCGCCUUCCAAGAUGUGUUAAUUAUGUUCUUCCGGAAGCACAUUUUUGUUCGCACAUUACAUAACCCACUCUAAUGAAGUUUCCAAAAUUUCAGAGCAUAUGUUUUCUCGUCAGAAACGUAAAACAAGUUGAAUAAAUGUUGAGAAUUUUUAAAGUUAGCUCGAUUAUAAGAGGUAAGCAUUCACUGCGUACUUAAAAAUUACGUCCUACCUUUUAGUGUUUCAAUAAUUUUUUAGCCUCGUUUACCCAUAUUUUAAUUAAAUCUCCUUCUUUAUUCGUAUAUUCGGGCUAUGUUUUUUGUGCUUAAAAAUUAGUGAAUUCAAAUCAACUGCCCAAAAAAACAAGAAAGGCAACGCAGGUUAAAACAAUUAUUGAAAUCGGAUUUACAUAGCGGUAAAUAAUUAAUUUAUUUCAAGUUUAACAAAACUUCCUUGAACUGAUGCACAGCCCUAGUAAUUUUUAAGAAAAUUUCAGCAGGACGAGAAAAUUAUUUGAUCCUUAAACGCUGUCAGAUUUUUUCAGUUGCUAAUUUGUUCCAGUGGCGUGGCGUGAAUGAUCGAUUAUCGAUAUCUCGCCAUUUGUAGUUAUGGUAAAGAAUCGAUUACUAGGGUGUUCGCUGCGAACACCCUAAUAAUCGAUCUUUUUUCAUAGGUUUGAGUGGCAAAUCAAUCGAUACAUCGCAAAACACGCCACGCCACUGAUUUGUUCGAAUGGAUUUUUUUUUUUUUUUUUUUUUUUUAACUCUGAAAUCGCUUAUUUUCCGCUCGUAUCGCCAGCAUUGCCCCAAAUUUUUUGCGCCACCCAAGUAAUAAUACAUAAAUGAUUAUGAAACGCUGAUUGUAGGCCACUGCAGUGAGCGUCACGUUUCUCCAAGGCUUGUAUUAAGUCUUGGGAUGUGUAGAAAAUCUCCAUUGAGAUCUCUGGGGUGAAAAUUAACCGUCUUUGCAACGUCAGUGUCGCCCCACCAGUUUUUUUCGUCGCCCAAGCACUCCUCAGAAAACCUGUAUAAAAAGCGACUCAGAGGAAGUUUCAUCCCGCAAUAUAAAAUCCGACACGGCUCCGAUCGUGCAAAUUAUGAGGUUACAAAAAUCGGUAGAAAGGGAUACUAUUUUACUGAAGAUUCAAUAUCACGGAAAAAAUUAUAUUGCUGAUUUAACAAUCAAUUGCUAAAAAAAAGACUGCAAUGUUUCAAUGUAGAUUUUACAAGAAAAAAAUGCAACUCUAACCACCCUCGUGGUUGAAUUAGCUUACAAUAAUGGUUAAAGUAGCAUUUUUUUGUUGUAAAAUCUACGUUGAAACGUUGCAAUCAUUGUUUUUAGCAAUUGAAUUGUUAAAUCAGAAAUUUAAUUUUUCUGUGAUAAGUACAGCUCUCUUGCAGAAUAAUGCGGACUUGCUGCUUUUUUGUUGUGAUUUCAAGUUCAUUUGAGGGAUGUAGGUACUAAUGAACCACAAAAUCGAUUUUUCGAUUUUUUUUAAAAUUUUCUUAUUGUUCAGGGAUUAAUUUUUUCUCUUUUUUUUUCUUUUUUUUUAACCCUAGAGUAAGUUUUUGGACACAUUUGGUCUUGGUGGACCCUGAGAAUGUAAGCAAGGUUUUUGCCUAUCUCAUAGUUAGUUGAAUCAACUUUCUUGGAGGGGUGAAAGGGAAUGUUUUUGGUUAAGAUGUAAUUCGCGUCAAUUCCUCGAACGGAUUUCUUACCCAAAAUUUUUUUGAGGGUUUUAUGUUUUAACUGAUAUAAACUAGAUUGGCAGACUUUUGAGGGAAACUCGAUUUCGAUAAUUUGGGCGUUUAAGUUCUCAUCAAUAACGCAAUAGAGCUAUCCGUCUGUAUUCGUGUCUCUGAUCCGAAUCGCGCCGAUCUCAUCUCGAUGUGUUAUUGAGGUAGGUCAGGUGCGCAGCACCCACUGCAUCUACCCGUUUUUUAAACAGGAAUUCGUUGUACCGUGAAAGAGGUCUUUUCUUGUCCCGCGCGGAGAUAAUUGUGGGACCGGCACAUCUCGUGAUCUCUUAUUUUUCUCAGGUUUUCCUCAUACCGUUUUUGUUUCAAAUCCGAAUUCUUGUGGCACACGAAGUGAUUGCGCCAUCACUUUUUCAAAAGAACUCUCACAAAAGAAGAUUGCAUGCAACAUCAGAUGGAUCCCGCAAAAAAGACCGGUACUUACCUUGAGUGGCACUUUUUGAAAGCUCGAACCGCCUCUGCCUCUACAUAUUUUCGCAGGUUUUCCUUAUCCGAUGGGACAAAAAAUCCAGGAAGCUAAUAGAUCAAAAGUGCAUGCUCACUGGUGAUGCCAUGAAAACAAGAAUCGUUGGGAUGUACAAAUUCUAUCUUCAGUGUGACAACUUUUGAUCCAAUACCAAGUAAAAGUUAUUAACAAA